Molecule: long non-coding RNA, 859 nt
Organism: Miniopterus natalensis
Lineage: Eukaryota; Metazoa; Chordata; Mammalia; Chiroptera; Miniopteridae
Source: RefSeq, a predicted model, not a curated record
AAGCAAGACCCUCCAUGAGCAAAAAGAUGAGGCUCACUGGGGUACUCCACUUCACUACGGUAGUCUGGAACCCAAACCUACAGUAUUUCUGAGGUGAGCCUGUGCUUGCUUUAUUAUGGUGGCCUGGAACCGAACCUGCAGUGUCUCCAAGGCCUUUUCUUUUCUAGAAAUCUGGAAGCAAACCAGAAUGAUGUGUAAGAAAGAAGUUCUACUUGUAUGCAUCCCCAUGACUCACCACUUGCUUGAAAGAAGAUACUCCUCAGUCAAAAGAAGGGAGUCACAGAACAUGGAAAGCCAAAAUGAUCGUUAAACACCGGAGACAACUCUAGACUCUUAUCAACCUAGAGAUGACAGCAGCGGAGGAAUCUACAUUACAAACCUUGUCAGCAUAACCCUUAUCUUCCAUUAGUAUCCCCCAUAUGUUUACCUUCCCACGGUUUCCCACCCCUAAAAGUCUAAAGCUCCUUUCUUUUGUCACGUCUCUGUAAAAUGUAUUGUUCUUUGUUGGGAUGUUAUAUAAACCCAAGUUCUAACCACCACUUUGGGUUACUUACUACUGAGUAACUCCUGUUUGUAUGUGCAGUGCAUGUGUUAAUAAACUUCUGUUUGGUUUUCUCUUGUUAAUCUGGUUUUUGUCAGCCUGAUUUGCACGGCUCAGCCAAUGAACUUAAGAUGGAUAAAGGAAAACAUUUUUUCUUCCCCUACAGGGGAAAAAAUCUUAGGGGAAGGGCCCCCCAAAAGAUCAUAUUGUUCUUAUUAGGGCAUGGGACAUGUUUCACCACUGCCUGAACUAGCCAACCACUUAAUUUUACUCUGCAAUUUCCCCCAUUUAUUUCAGAUCAAUAAGCAUGUUCCUAAG